RNAcentral lists this transfer RNA (75 nucleotides) under Crystallogobius linearis (crystal goby). Its description in RNAcentral is "tRNA-Leu". It matches the Rfam family "tRNA". Rfam says of the family: Transfer RNA (tRNA) molecules are approximately 80 nucleotides in length. Their secondary structure includes four short double-helical elements and three loops (D, anti-codon, and T loops). Lineage: Eukaryota; Metazoa; Chordata; Actinopteri; Gobiiformes; Gobiidae. The record is from RNAcentral.
GUUGAGGUGGCAGAGCCCGGAGAAUUGCAGAAGGCCUAAGCCCUUCAAACAGAGGUUCAAGUCCUCUUCUUAACU